RNAcentral lists this long non-coding RNA (250 nucleotides) under Phaseolus vulgaris (common bean). RNAcentral describes it as "long non-coding RNA (PVUL_LNC002139)". Lineage: Eukaryota; Viridiplantae; Streptophyta; Magnoliopsida; Fabales; Fabaceae. The record is from RNAcentral.
UUCAAAGACAUUACCUUAGGUACAAUUCUUGUUUUCAAACUACACCCAAGGCAAUGUCUCAUGAACUUUAUACUCCUUCACCUUUUGCAAAUGAUCCUUGGGAAGAUAUAAAUUUCAUAUUAAAACUCCCUAGGACAACAAAAGGUUGUGAUUCAAUCUUCAUGGUUAUGGAUAAACUCUUCUCUAGAGAAGUCAUACAUCUUCAUGGUUUAUCUUCAAGCAUAGUGUUGAAUAGAGUUCCAAAUUUCGC